RNAcentral lists this ribosomal RNA (233 nucleotides) under uncultured bacterium. RNAcentral describes it as "partial 16S ribosomal RNA". It matches the Rfam family "Bacterial small subunit ribosomal RNA", at positions 100 to 334 of the family's 1533-position model. The record is from RNAcentral.
CGGGACGGGUGAGUAAUGUCUGGGAAACUAGCCUGAUGGAGGGGGGUAACUACUGGAAACGGUAGCUAAUACCGCAUAACGUCGCAAGACCAAAGAGGGGGACCUUCGGGCCUCUUGCCAUCGGAUGUGCCCAGAUGGGAUUGCUAGUAGGUGGGGUAACGGCUCACCUAGGCGACGAUCCCUAGCUGGUCUGAGAGGAUGACCAGCCACACUGGAACUGAGACACGGUCCAG